This 1388-nucleotide ribosomal RNA is filed under the name Serratia symbiotica. Its description in RNAcentral is "16S ribosomal RNA". It matches the Rfam family "Bacterial small subunit ribosomal RNA", at positions 56 to 1434 of the family's 1533-position model. The record is from RNAcentral. Lineage: Bacteria; Pseudomonadati; Pseudomonadota; Gammaproteobacteria; Enterobacterales; Yersiniaceae.
UGCAAGUCGAGCGGUAGCACAAGAGAGCUUGCUCUCUGGGUGACGAGCGGCGGACGGGUGAGUAAUGUCUGGGAAGCUGCCUGAUGGCGGGGGAUAACUAGUGGAAACGGUAGCUAAUACCGCAUAACGUCGCAAGACCAAAGUGGGGGACCUUCGGGCCUCACGCCAUCAGAUGUACCCAGGUGGGAUUAGCUGGUAGGUGGGGUAACGGCUCACCUAGGCGACGAUCCCUAGCUGGUCUGAGAGGAUGACCAGCCACACUGGAACUGAGACACGGUCCAGACUCCUACGGGAGGCAGCAGUGGGGAAUAUUGCACAAUGGGCGCAAGCCUGAUACAGCCAUGCCGCGUGUGUGAAGAAGGCCUUCGGGUUGUAAAGCACUUUCAGCGAGGAGGAAGGGUAAUGUGUUAAUAAGACAUUGCAUUGACGUUACUCGCAGAAGAAGCACCGGCUAACUCCGUGCCAGCAGCCGCGGUAAUACGGAGGGUGCAAGCGUUAAUCGGAAUUACUGGGCGUAAAGCGCACGCAGGCGGUUUGUUAAGUCAGAUGUGAAAUCCCCGCGCUCAACGUGGGAACGGCAUUUGAGACUGGCAAGCUAGAGUCUUGUAGAGGGGGGUAGAAUUCUAGGUGUAGCGGUGAAAUGCGUAGAGAUCUGGAGGAAUACCGGUGGCGAAGGCGGCCCCCUGGACAAAGACUGACGCUCAGGUGCGAAAGCGUGGGGAGCAAACAGGAUUAGAUACCCUAGUAGUCCACGCUGUAAACGAUGUCGAUUUGGAGGUUGCGCCCUUGAGGGGUGGCUUCCGUAGCUAACGCGUUAAAUCGACCGCCUGGGGAGUACGGCCGCAAGGUUAAAACUCAAAUGAAUUGACGGGGGCCCGCACAAGCGGUGGAGCAUGUGGUUUAAUUCGAUGCAACGCGAAGAACCUUACCUACUCUUGACAUCCAGAGAACUUUCCAGAGAUGGAGGGGUGCCUUCGGGAGCUCUGAGACAGGUGCUGCAUGGCUGUCGUCAGUUCGUGUUGUGAAAUGUUGGGUUAAGUCCCGCAACGAGCGCAACCCUUAUCCUUUGUUGCCAGCGAUAAAGUCGGGAACUCAAAGGAGACUGCCGGUGAUAAACCGGAGGAAGGUGGGGAUGACGUCAAGUCAUCAUGGCCCUUACGAGUAGGGCUACACACGUGCUACAAUGGCGUAUACAAAGAGAAGCGACCUCGCGAGAGUAAGCGGACCUCACAAAGUACGUCGUAGUCCGGAUUGGAGUCUGCAACUCGACUCCAUGAAGUCGGAAUCGCUAGUAAUCGUAGAUCACAAUGCUGCGGUGAAUACGUUCCCGGGCCUUGUACACACCGCCCGUCACACCAUGGGAGUGGGUUGCAAAAGAAGUAGGUAGC